UACGUAGGGUGCAAGCGUUAAUCGGAAUUACUGGGCGUAAAGCGCGCGCAGGCGGCUGUUUAAGACAGAUGUGAAAUCCCCGGGCUUAACCUGGGAAUGGCAUUUGGGACUGCAAGGCUCGAGUGCGGCAGAGGAGACUGGAAUUCCUGGUGUAGCAGUGAAAUGCGUAGAUAUCAGGAGGAACACCGAUGGCGAAGGCAGGUCUCUGGGCUGACACUGACGCUCAUGCACGAAAGCGUGGGGAGCAAACAGG
This 253-nucleotide ribosomal RNA is filed under the name uncultured bacterium. RNAcentral describes it as "partial 16S ribosomal RNA". It matches the Rfam family "Bacterial small subunit ribosomal RNA", at positions 524 to 776 of the family's 1533-position model. The record is from RNAcentral.